Lolium rigidum is the source of this 894-nucleotide long non-coding RNA. RefSeq lists it as uncharacterized. Lineage: Eukaryota; Viridiplantae; Streptophyta; Magnoliopsida; Poales; Poaceae. The record is from RefSeq and is a predicted model, not a curated record. The transcript has 3 exons.
UUGAUGCCGCACCGUGACAGACCGGUUCACCGAUGGCGCAGUGCCGUCGAAGAUCCCAGGGUUCCGAAAGGAUUCGAGGGAGCGCUGGCGGUGUUGUUUGGCCUCAGUUCAUACCUUGUUGUCGACGAGAAUUCGUGAUUUCGUGGUGCUGUUGGAUUGAUGCCGCUCGGGAAGAUUGAUCAGCAAGGAGAAUAAUAGGUAACUGUUCCAUCAGUAUCUUCUGUCUACCAUGAGUAUGCAAUGAAAAUCCAAAUACCAGUAUUUAUCUUCAGUAUUCCAGAAAAAACAUGGCUGAUUCGAGAGGGAAGAGGGUGAUGGUGCAUCAGCUAGUGAUUACAUACCUGAACUAUCUGAACCUGAAUUUCGAUGAUGAUCCUCCUUGCGACGUCCCUUGCUAGUUUGUUUGAGGAGAAUGAGCAGGUUGAAAAAUGCUUCAGGUUAUUUAUACUUUUCAGGUAUUAAGGGCAAUGUUUUAAUUACCAUUACCAUAACUGGGUGCUUGGGGCGAAAUUGGGAAAUGUUUUAAAUACCAUAGCGUGAUCGAUGGGGAGUUAAUUUCAGUAUACCGAGAUACUAUAGCGUGAGGUGAUUUAGUUACCAUAGAUGGUGAUUUAAUUUCAGCUGACCGAGAUACUAUUGAAUUCACUGAAUAUUUGCAUAGUGGGACGAGAUUGAUUUUGGGGCGAGUUUGACUCGGGCGUGAUUACAUACCUUCUGCGGCGAGGUUGCAUUCCUUCUGGGACGAGAUUGAUUCUGGCCAAGAUUCUGGGCGAGAUUGAUACUGGUCGAGAUUCUGGGCGAGAUUGAUUUUUGGACGAGAUUUCUGGUGCGGCCCAUUUGGUGCGGCCCAUGUAGGCGAUCGCUGCAGAGGGGGUGACGACCAAAACUGGUCGU